Molecule: ribosomal RNA, 877 nt
Filed under: uncultured bacterium
Lineage: Bacteria
Description: bacterial SSU rRNA
Rfam family: Bacterial small subunit ribosomal RNA
Source: RNAcentral
AGAGUUUGAUCAUGGCUCAGGAUGAACGCUGGCGGCGUGCCUAACACAUGCAAGUCGAGCGAACCCUUUCGGGGUGAGCGGCGGACGGGUGAGUAACGCGUGGGUAACUGCCCUGUACACACGGAUAACAUACCGAAAGGUAUGCUAAUACGAGAUAAUAUAUUUUAAUCGCAUGGUUAAGAUAUCAAAGCUCCGGCGGUACAGGAUGGACCCGCGUCUGAUUAGCUAGUUGGUGAGGUAAUGGCUCACCAAGGCGACGAUCAGUAGCCGACCUGAGAGGGUGAUCGGCCACACUGGAACUGAGACACGGUCCAGACUCCUACGGGAGGCAGCAGUGGGGAAUAUUGCACAAUGGGCGAAAGCCUGAUGCAGCAACGCCGCGUGAGCGAUGAAGGCCUUCGGGUCGUAAAGCUCUGUCCUCAAGGAAGAUAAUGACGGUACUUGAGGAGGAAGCCCCGGCUAACUACGUGCCAGCAGCCGCGGUAAUACGUAGGGGGCUAGCGUUAUCCGGAAUUACUGGGCGUAAAGGGUGCGUAGGCGGUCUUUCAAGCCAGAAGUGAAAGGCCACGGCUCAACCGUAGUAAGCUUUUGGAACUGUAAGACUUGAGUGCAGGAGAGGAGAGUGGAAUUCCUAGUGUAGCGGUGAAAUGCGUAGAUAUUAGGAGGAACACCAGUAGCGAAGGCGGCUCUCUGGACUGUAACUGACGCUGAGGCACGAAAGCGUGGGGAGCAAACAGGAUUAGAUACCCUGGUAGUCCACGCCGUAAACGAUGAGUACUAGGUGUCGGGGGUUACCCCCCUCGGUGCCGCAGCUAACGCAUUAAGUACUCCGCCUGGGAAGUACGCUCGCAAGAGUGAAACUUAAAUGAAUUGACGG